UGGUGCUGUGCUCUUACUAACCCAGACCCUACUAACCCUGGUUUCUCUUACUAACCCCAGCCCUGCCGAGCUCUGGGC
Sorex araneus (European shrew) is the source of this 78-nucleotide non-coding RNA. The record is from Rfam. Lineage: Eukaryota; Metazoa; Chordata; Mammalia; Eulipotyphla; Soricidae.